CAAACCUUCUACUUAGGGAUGCUUAUGGUGGCCAGUUUUUCUCCGUGACUGAAUGAGGAAAUAUAAGAAAAGGCUCUGACCUGUGGGCUAUUCGAAGCAAUAAAGGGAAUAUUUAAAUUUCUGUCUGCUUGAUUCUUCUUAAUUAGUCCAAAAUGAGGCUGUGAAAGAGGGUGCUAUUUAUUACUCCCACCCCAACAUUAUUGUACCAUUAAACCGUAAGAACAUAGCUUAAAAUUUACAAGGCUUUUUGUUGAAUGUAGUUACUCACGAAUGACGACUAUUGUGAUGUUACGUAACUUCUUGUCGUGAAUGUAGUUCCUCUUCCACAAUUUCAUGUCUAGAGUUAGAUUUGCUUUUUCUUCUUUUUUUUUUUAACCACAAGAAGCACAUAUUUUUAUGACUUUGGUAGAACUGUGAUGUACUUUUCGUCAUUCUAUGAUUUCAGUUCCUUACAACAUCAUUCUUAAUGGGAAUGACAUUAUCUGGAUAGCUUGGCCCAGCCUGGUCAUCCCACCCUAUUGGCAGCAGGACAACUGUGAGACAGAAACAAACAGUUUGGGCCAGGCGAAAUCAGCCCCUGGGGAAAGUGGAAAUGGGGUGCAGAGGGCUUGUGGAAAGAUGAAUAAGAACAAGGAAGAAGUUUGGGUAAGGAUGAGAUUAAAAUAAAAACUGGAAUAUGUGAUUCUAAUUUUAAAAAAGGUGAGAUAAUAUUUUUGAGAUAUUAAUCAAGUUUUUCUCUGGAUUUUUUUGUUCAUUCCUGGCAUCCUGUCUCCUAAAUGAAUCUCCUUCUCCUUCCCUCCUUGCAGAAUAAAGCUGGUUGGCAUGUGGCAUAUGAACAGAUGACACUGAAGACCAGAUUCUACUUGUUCUUUCUCCAGUGCUUCCACAUAUAAGCACACCUGGUCACUGAGGAAGCCCCUAUAAUUGUAGAUAAAUCUUAGAAAAGGGAAUGGGAGUCACAGGAUUAACUGAAAUUGUUUUAUCACUCCAGGGACUUUCUGCUGCAGUAGAAAUUCACUAGUUAGAAUGAAAUAAAUAAUAUUAAAUUCUUGAAUAUCUGAGUUUGAGGAUAAGAUUCAAAUAUAAAACACAUACACAUUACAUCUAUUUUUCCUGUUGAAAUCCCAGUCCCCA
Molecule: long non-coding RNA, 1134 nt
Filed under: Callithrix jacchus (white-tufted-ear marmoset)
Lineage: Eukaryota; Metazoa; Chordata; Mammalia; Primates; Cebidae
Description: lncRNA (ENSCJAG00000087188.1)
Source: RNAcentral